GUACGCUGGCGGCACGCCUAACACAUGCAAGUCGAACGAAGUAGCAAUACUUAGUGGCAGACGGGUGAGUAACAUGUAGGUAUCUGCCCUUUGGCCUGGAAUAACACGAGGAAACUUGUGCUAAUACCGGAUAAGUCUUUACGGAGAAAGCUUUAUGCACCAUUGGAUGAGCCUGCACUUGAUUAGUUUGUUGGUGGGGUAAUGGCCUACCAAGACUGUAAUCAAUAGCUGAUUUGAGAGGAUGAUCAGCCACAUUGGGACUGAGACACGGCCCAAACUCCUACGGGAGGCAGCAGUGGGGAAUCUUGCACAAUGGAGGAAACUCUGAUGCAGCGAUGCCGCGUGAGUGAAGAAGGCCUUUGGGUUGUAAAGCUCUUUCGUCGGGGAAGAAAAUGACUGUACCCGAAUAAGAAGGUCCGGC
RNAcentral lists this ribosomal RNA (421 nucleotides) under uncultured bacterium. RNAcentral describes it as "bacterial SSU rRNA". It matches the Rfam family "Bacterial small subunit ribosomal RNA", at positions 31 to 497 of the family's 1533-position model. The record is from RNAcentral.